AUUAUUUUGGCUACCGCUAGAAGAAGAGAUCUCAGUGAUUUUGAUCAGAGAGGAAGCAUCGAAGAGAAAUGGUCCAAUCCCAUCAAAAUCUGUCCAUGUGGGAAUACGACAUUCUGUUUAUUAAGCAGACCUUAAUAAACCUUUGGGACAUGGACUCUCAUUGUUAGGGCGGAGACAAGAACAUCUCUUCAUUAUAUACUGUUUUGAAAGAGCGGUCUGAAAGGAGCAUAGGGUGUUUAAAAGGUAUGUGUGUCUGUCUCAGUCACCAGGCUCAACCCUAUUGGACACUUAUGUGAGAUUCUGGAGCGGCGCCUGAGAAGGGUUUUCCACGACCAUCAACAAAAUGAUGGCAUUCCUCCAAAAGAGUUCCAGACUUCUACAAUCUAUGCCAACGUGUACGAAGCCACGCCCUAUACAGACACUUUAUGUUGGUGUUUCCUUUAUUUUGGCAGUUACCUGCACCUGACCUUAUAUUAAAGGACCCACCAGAGGGGAAUGCCACCCUUAUUUCAAUGUAAUUCCUGCUUAAGAGCGGAAAUGCUUGUUUAGGUUCCAUCUCUGAAUAAUGAUGCAGACUACAUAUAGACCUACAUAUUCAUGAACUGCGGGUGGGAAGGAACGUCAUGGUGACUUCCACGUGGAGUGGACAAACAUCAACAAAUAGAUCACUUCAAACCACAACUGCAGUACAGUCAACAGAAAAGAAUCCCAGAGCUGCAGGAUCCAUGUUGGAACACAGAGGUCAUUUUCAACAGGACUCUUUUGUAUAAUGUCAUAUUUUGAUGAAGGGGUGCACUAUAAAUGGCACACAAGAUGAAGUACUACACAGUUGAGACUGGCAAUACUUUGGAUUCUCACAUUCAGUUUAUGAGACGACUCAACAACACCACAAGAUGUUUUACGGAAGUCAAGUCUCCAGAGGAGAGUGAUGUCAUCAUGGCUUUCUGUCCCAUCGUCUCUCGCGCCGGGACUGAUAUUGAAGCAGCACUGCAACAGAUUCCAAAGGGUAAAGAUGUCAUUCUGGUAGUGCUGCAUCACACCUUCAACCCAGACGACACUGUACCUUACAGCAGCAGACUAGUGACCAGAAGUGAUGUAAUACUCACAGUGGACUGUCUGUUCCAUGAGAGACUGGGAGGACUACUGGACUGUCCUCGCAAUGAUGCAGCAGUCAGAAAUAUUAGGCAGAAGUUUGACACAGUGGACUGUCUGUUCCAUGAGAGCCAGGGACUACUGGACUGUUCUCGCAAUGAUGCAGUAGUCAAAAAGAUUAAGCAGAAGCUUGACAUGACCAGAAGUUGUGGCUUCCCAGCUUGGAUUCUAAACGGUGUCAUGUGGGCAGUGUCUUCAGGCUACAACUACGUUUUCAUUCACAAUACACGUCCCUCUACAAGGCCUCGUUCUGGCAAUCUAUCUGUGAUUUGGAGCAAUAUAAUGUGCACAGUGUAUUCAGUCUACAGCUACCUCUGUACACGGCUUUCAUAUGUGAAGGCGCGCUUCUGGGACAAUAAUUAGGUUCCAGUAGGUUCAAAAUCCACAUCCCUCUUCAAGACCUCGUUCCAGAAGUGAUGAAAGCAGUUCCACUUUUGUACCAACAAUGAAGACAUGCUAAUAGUUUUUAUGGAUUCCAUCUUUAAUUCAUGGUCUACUUAAGAAAAUGUCUUUACUUUUGAUGGUAAGAGCACUUGCAGGUGUAAUGUAUAGAAAUUGGGGCCGAUAUUAAAAAUGUUAAUAAAAAUGAAUGGAAAAUAAUAAAGAAGAAACAGGAUCUGUGGAAGGGGAUGCAUCUCAACAUCACUGCUAGUUUGCACAUACAUCAUACUUCUGACACCAGUGUAGCAAACAGUGGGGGUAACCUGGGUUGCUUGACGCAAGAAAAACUUGCUAGCCACAAACUCAAUAGGGAUAGCUUUCUCUUUUCGAGGAGUUUGGAACAGGCAUACAAAGGCUUGACUUUUUCCAAUAGUUCGAUGACUAAGCUGAGCUAAGCUAAACAUUUUUUGUUCAUUUUUUUCACCUUUAUUUAACAAGGUUGGCCAGUUGAGAACAAGUUCUCAUUUACAACUGCGACCCGGCCAAGAUAAAGCAAAGCAGUGCGACACAAACAACACAGAGUUACACACGGUGAGGG
Long non-coding RNA from Oncorhynchus tshawytscha (Chinook salmon), 2131 nucleotides. The record is from Ensembl. Lineage: Eukaryota; Metazoa; Chordata; Actinopteri; Salmoniformes; Salmonidae.